This 1489-nucleotide ribosomal RNA is filed under the name Lactiplantibacillus pentosus. Its description in RNAcentral is "bacterial SSU rRNA". It matches the Rfam family "Bacterial small subunit ribosomal RNA". The record is from RNAcentral. Lineage: Bacteria; Bacillati; Bacillota; Bacilli; Lactobacillales; Lactobacillaceae.
GACGAACGCUGGCGGCGUGCCUAAUACAUGCAAGUCGAACGAACUCUGGUAUUGAUUGGUGCUUGCAUCAUGAUUUACAUUUGAGUGAGUGGCGAACUGGUGAGUAACACGUGGGAAACCUGCCCAGAAGCGGGGGAUAACACCUGGAAACAGAUGCUAAUACCGCAUAACAACUUGGACCGCAUGGUCCGAGUUUGAAAGAUGGCUUCGGCUAUCACUUUUGGAUGGUCCCGCGGCGUAUUAGCUAGAUGGUGGGGUAACGGCUCACCAUGGCAAUGAUACGUAGCCGACCUGAGAGGGUAAUCGGCCACAUUGGGACUGAGACACGGCCCAAACUCCUACGGGAGGCAGCAGUAGGGAAUCUUCCACAAUGGACGAAAGUCUGAUGGAGCAACGCCGCGUGAGUGAAGAAGGGUUUCGGCUCGUAAAACUCUGUUGUUAAAGAAGAACAUAUCUGAGAGUAACUGUUCAGGUAUUGACGGUAUUUAACCAGAAAGCCACGGCUAACUACGUGCCAGCAGCCGCGGUAAUACGUAGGUGGCAAGCGUUGUCCGGAUUUAUUGGGCGUAAAGCGAGCGCAGGCGGUUUUUUAAGUCUGAUGUGAAAGCCUUCGGCUCAACCGAAGAAGUGCAUCGGAAACUGGGAAACUUGAGUGCAGAAGAGGACAGUGGAACUCCAUGUGUAGCGGUGAAAUGCGUAGAUAUAUGGAAGAACACCAGUGGCGAAGGCGGCUGUCUGGUCUGUAACUGACGCUGAGGCUCGAAAGUAUGGGUAGCAAACAGGAUUAGAUACCCUGGUAGUCCAUACCGUAAACGAUGAAUGCUAAGUGUUGGAGGGUUUCCGCCCUUCAGUGCUGCAGCUAACGCAUUAAGCAUUCCGCCUGGGGAGUACGGCCGCAAGGCUGAAACUCAAAGGAAUUGACGGGGGCCCGCACAAGCGGUGGAGCAUGUGGUUUAAUUCGAAGCUACGCGAAGAACCUUACCAGGUCUUGACAUACUAUGCAAAUCUAAGAGAUUAGACGUUCCCUUCGGGGACAUGGAUACAGGUGGUGCAUGGUUGUCGUCAGCUCGUGUCGUGAGAUGUUGGGUUAAGUCCCGCAACGAGCGCAACCCUUAUUAUCAGUUGCCAGCAUUAAGUUGGGCACUCUGGUGAGACUGCCGGUGACAAACCGGAGGAAGGUGGGGAUGACGUCAAAUCAUCAUGCCCCUUAUGACCUGGGCUACGCACGUGCUACAAUGGAUGGUACAACGAGUUGCGAACUCGCGAGAGUAAGCUAAUCUCUUAAAGCCAUUCUCAGUUCGGAUUGUAGGCUGCAACUCGCCUACAUGAGGUCGGAAUCGCUAGUAAUCGCGGAUCAGCAUGCCGCGGUGAAUACGUUCCCGGGCCUUGUACACACCGCCCGUCACACCAUGAGAGUUUGUAACACCCAAAGUCGGUGGGGUAACCUUUUAGGAACCAGCCGCCUAAGGUGGGACAGAUGAUUAGGGUG